Long non-coding RNA from Varanus komodoensis (Komodo dragon), 74 nucleotides. RefSeq lists it as uncharacterized. The transcript is spliced from 3 exons. NCBI's taxonomy places the organism in Eukaryota, Metazoa, Chordata, Lepidosauria, Squamata, Varanidae. The record is from RefSeq and is a predicted model, not a curated record.
UCUUGAGUUAAAUAAGACUUCAAUUAAUCUAAUUUAUCUGCAACAAAAAAUUUAUGAGUAUGGAGCAUGGGACU